Molecule: long non-coding RNA, 556 nt
Filed under: Arabidopsis lyrata
Lineage: Eukaryota; Viridiplantae; Streptophyta; Magnoliopsida; Brassicales; Brassicaceae
Description: long non-coding RNA (ALYR_LNC000011)
Source: RNAcentral
UUGUAGAACACUUUUGGGCACCUUUUGACAACACCAAGUCAGCCACUUAGCUCUUAAAGCUAAUCCUUCCUCAUUAUCCCUUCAUGGAACAACUUCAAGAUUAGUCUUCUAAGGCUUCUUUCAUGACCGCUUCUUAUGUUUCAAGGACUGCUCCAAAUCGCCAUUUCUUCUUGGAAAACUCAUCAAGAAGAGAUGGAAGGCAAAAGCCUGAGAAUAAAUGACAAAAAUAAAGUGUAUGUUACCAAGAAUAAGAGAAUAAGUAACCAAGUAUGAGAGUAUAAAGAGUAUGGACUCAAGAGUGCCAAUGGACAAAGUUCUUAGCUUUGUUUUCUUGAGGUGAGAUUGAGAGUAUGUGGGGUGUGUGAGCAGCCUUGUGAACUCCAAAACGAGCAGUCUUUGUUAUCUACUUCGUGGGCUUCAAGAUCUGCUCCAAACUGCCUUGAUAACUCCAAAACGAGCAGUCUUCAUGAUCUACUUCAAGAGCUUCAAGAACAGCUUCAAAUCGCCAUCUUCUUUGUGGCUUUGAAACCAUGGUUCUCCUAACCAUGGCUCUGAU